CGGAAACCCACCCUUCCCCUUUCUCUCUCCUCCCCCCCCCGAGCUCUCUCUUCUCCGGUUCGACCCUUUCCUUCCUCCCUCCGAUUUCCGGCGAUUCCGGCCACCAACCGGCGUGCCACCGGUCACCAGAGGAGCGCUUCCUCCCUCCGAGCACCCCAGCAGCCUUGGUUUUCCACGAUUUGGCCGGAAAACCACGGAUCGAAGCCUAAACCACUCCGGCUGCAGUUUGGGACUUUUGCCGAUUCCCGGCGAUUCCGGCCACCUCCGGUCCCCAUUUCUUCGUCG
Molecule: long non-coding RNA, 285 nt
Filed under: Rosa chinensis
Lineage: Eukaryota; Viridiplantae; Streptophyta; Magnoliopsida; Rosales; Rosaceae
Description: sRNA RchiOBHm_Chr2g0112981
Source: RNAcentral